UUCAAUAUCCGUAUCAUGGGAAAAUAGUUUUUCUACCAGGAAUGUACUCUCAUUAUAGGACAGCAUAGUGGAGAGCAGUGUUGCUGUAGACAUCCACGUUCCAGCAGAACGAUGCCACAAAUCUCUUCCUGGCAAUGUACAGCCUCCUCAAAGGCAUCCCAUUUUGUUUAUCACCAAUGUCAAUGUGGCAUUUUCAGUUCACCAGGAGAGUCCCCACUUCCACAUGGCCAUUGGCACAGGCCAAACGUACAGCAGCCCUGUCCAUCCACAGCUGAAGGGAUAGAGAAACUGCCAUACAGAUACACACAGAGUAUGCUUCAGCCAUAAAGCUUUGGGAAAUCCUGUCAUUCGCAGCCACAUGGAGAAACCCAGAGGACAUUAGGUCCAAGAAAAUGAGCCUGGUGGAGCAAGUCCCACACUGCGUGACCUCAGGCAUGUGGACUCCAAAAAGCUUUAUCUCCUGCCCAUCCACAGAUGAAGGGAUCAAGAAACUCUGAUAUAUAUACACAAAGGAAUGUUCUUUGGCCAUCAAGAUAAUUAAAGGAUGUCAUUUGGAGGAACAUAGAUGGCCCGCCGAGGCUGCGGCUGCCUCAUCCUGCACUGUGGAUGGAAGCCGCUGAUCUGACAGGAAGUGGAGCUCAGGUGGUAAUGCUCGCUCUUGCUGUGCUGCCAGGUUCUUAACAGGCCAGGGAUGAUACUGGUCCAGGGGUGGGGGAGCCCUGCUCCAGAUGACAGCCAGAGUAGUCUUAAAUGGACCUUCUGCUUUGCACAAAGGUGGUAUGCAAUCAGAAGACGUCUGAGGAGACAAGUAUGCAUCUCCCACCACAACAUUAUAUGAUGCUUGGAGUAAAAACAGUCCUCCCUGUUCCUACCCACGAAUGUAUUAUUCAAUAAAGAUUGCUGCCAGGCAUGGUGGCUCAUACCUGUAGUCCCGCACUUUGGGAGGCUGAGGCUGGGCAGAUCGCUUGAGACCAGGGUUUGAGACUAGCCUGGACAACAUGGUGAGCCACCAUCUCUGCAGAAAUAAAAUAAAAUAAAAUUAGCCAGGUGUAGUGGCCUGUGCCUAUAGCCUCAGCUACUUGGGAGGCUGAGGCAGGAGAAUAGCUUGAGCCCUGGAAGUCCAGGCAACAGUAAGCCAUGAUGGUGGCACUGCACUCCAAACUGGGUGACAGAGUAAGACCCUGUCUUAAAAAAAAAAAAAAAAGAUUGCAUUAUUCAAUCUUUUUUCCCAUAUAUAAUUUAUAUAGUUACAUAAUUACAUUCUAGUUUUUGCACAUGCCGAGAACUACAUAUAAUUUAGUAGUAUGCUGUUUUCACUUAUAUAUCACAUAUAUUUUCCUAUAUAGGUAUAUAAUAUCUAUAUUUGUCCUUUUCCAUUUGACUGCUGUGUUUCUUAAAUUGAUAUACUGUGAUCUAAGCCAGUUACAGAUUGGUAUGGAUUUAAAUUACUUCCUAUUUUCUGUUUUAUUAACAAUAAACACUGUUAUGAUAUAGUUUUCAUUUUUGUUUGUUUGGUUUUUGAUCAUUUCCUGUGGAAGUAUUCUCAAAGCUGAAAUUACUGAAUUAGUGGGAACAAACAUGGCUGUCUUUUUAAAUGUUUUGUCAGCUUACUCUCCAAAAGGAUUACACCAAGAGGUAUUGCCACUAGCAGUAGUUAAGAGUUUGUCUCACCAUGAUUACAAAUUUUUCAAAAUUGGUAGCUUAUUCACACUGAUUGGAACAUAUGAAUUGUUCAAUAUUUUAUAAUAUGUAUAUGGGAAAACCCUUAUAUAGAUUAAUCAAGAACAUAUAAGUAUGUAAUAAAUUCCAUACUGGAUUACAUCGAUGAUCCUUCUGGCUCUGCAUCUUGAAACCUAGUUAAGCUCUUUUAUGUUAAAUUCACCCGGAUAGAGUUUUGGAAAAUACUUGCUUUUUAUUUCUGAAAGUUUUUGCAAAGGAUUAGGUUUGGUUUUAUGAAAAGUUUCGUCUCUGAAAUUAUCUGCCUAGACUUUGGACAAGGUGUUCUAUUAAUUGUCAAAUACAAUUGAAUUGAAUCACAUUUUUCUUUCUAGGUUACUUUAUAAGGUGUUCCUACAGGUCAUAAAAAAAUUGCCCACAAGGAGCCAAAUUACUUUAUUCAUGGAUCUAAUAUUGCUUUAUAGUAUUGCUAUAUAGGUUUAGAUAAUUAUGUUGUUUCACCUUCAGUAGUCAUAUUUUAGUUAUAGGUAAAGUCAUUCCUAGUUAAAAUAGUAUGUAAAGCAAACACAUUUGAAAUCACCAGUAUUCGACAUGUUUUGCUAUUACUUACAAGUAACAAUUUACAUUAUUUUAAUGUUGUAAAUAGUUGUGGAAUUUAGUCAUUUUCUGUAUAUUGAAUUAAUUACUGGCAUUAAAUAAGUAUCUUCUCUCUUUAGUAGCUUAACUCAUUUCCUGAAUGUACCCAUUUGAUAUCAUACUUUUGAUUGGUAAAGUCACAUGUAAAUAUCUUUUUUACUUUUUAUAAAAUAAUGUCAUAAAAAUAUGGAAGAUUUUCUGGCAGACAUUAUUAGCUAACUGAUGACAUUUUCAGUAAGUGCCAAAAAGUAAUAUAUGAAUAUAUAAAACAUCAAAUAUUUAGCAUAAACUUUAUAAAUAGCAGAAAUGAUUAGUAGAAGAAAUUACUCACAUAUUGUCUGCUAAAAUAAAUAUUAAAAUUUGACUACAUGAAAAAAUAUAGUUUCUUGAGCUGAUCAAAUAAAUUGAUCAUAAUUCUUCCUCG
This 2737-nucleotide long non-coding RNA is filed under the name Homo sapiens (human). RNAcentral describes it as "HSALNT0198725". Lineage: Eukaryota; Metazoa; Chordata; Mammalia; Primates; Hominidae. The record is from RNAcentral.